Molecule: ribosomal RNA, 1113 nt
Filed under: Hypoclinemus mentalis
Lineage: Eukaryota; Metazoa; Chordata; Actinopteri; Pleuronectiformes; Achiridae
Description: partial 16S ribosomal RNA
Rfam family: Bacterial large subunit ribosomal RNA
Source: RNAcentral
GGGAAGAGCCUCGAGUAGAGGUGACAGACCUACCGAGCUCGGCCAUAGCUGGUUGCCUGAGAACUGGAUAGAAGUUCAGCCUCCCGAAUUCUCCCCUCACGUUCAUCUAAUUUAUAAUUAAAGACCCCAAGAAAUCCGAGAGAGUUAGUCAAAAGGGGGACAGCCCUUUUGACAUAAGAUACAACUUUACUAGGUGGGUAUUGAUCAUAAUCUACCAAGGGGAAAUAAUCCAAGUGGGCCUAAAAGCAGCCACCUCUAUAGAAAGCGUCCAAGCUCAAACACUUUUCAAACCCUUAAAUCCCGAUAACCCUUCACAGCCCCCUAAAAAUAUCAGGCCCUUUCGUGCCCCCACGAAAGAGACUAUGCUACUACGAGUAAUAAGAGAAUAACCUUCUCUCCCAGCACACAUGUAAAUCGGAUCGGACCCCCCACCGAAACUUAACGGCCCCAAACAAAGAGGGUAAUAAAAUCUUAAUAUUAAUAAACCAGAAAACCACUUACAACCCCACCGUUAACCCCACACUGGAGUGCCCCCAAGGAAAGACUACAAGAAAGAAAAGGAACUCGGCAAACUAAAGCCUCGCCUGUUUACCAAAAACAUCGCCUCUUGCAAAACCAAAGAAUAAGAGGUCCCGCCUGCCCACUGAUCCAAGAUUCAACGGCCGCGGUAUUUUGACCGUGCUAAGGUAGCGUAAUCACUUGUCUUUUAAAUGAAGACCCGUAUGAAAGGCUUAACGAGGGCUUAACUGUCUCUUCUUUCUAGUCAAUGAAACUGAUCUCCCCGUGCAGAUGCGGGGAUAAAAACAUAAGACGAGAAGACCCUAUGGAGCUUUAGACACUAAAGCAGACUAUUUUUAAUAACCCUAACCAAGCAAUAAAUCUAAUAAAAACCUGCUACUGUCUUAGGUUGGGGCGACCCUGGGGAAACACAAAACCCCCAUGUGGAAGGGGGAACCUACUCUUCUACCCCUAAAAACCCGAAAUACAAUUCUAAUUAACAGAAUAUCUGACCAACUGAUCCGGCCUUGGGCCGAUUAACGAAACAAGUUACCCUAGGGAUAACAGCGCUAUCCCCUUUUAAAGUCCAUAUAGACAAGGGGGCUUACGACCUCG